Molecule: long non-coding RNA, 2784 nt
Organism: Hyaena hyaena (striped hyena)
Lineage: Eukaryota; Metazoa; Chordata; Mammalia; Carnivora; Hyaenidae
Exons: 2
Source: RefSeq, a predicted model, not a curated record
GCAUCCACCUUUCCCUGUUUCUGUGUGUCCUUCCCUGUAUCUGGUCCACAGAGAGAUACUACUUCGUUAGAUACAAUAUAGCACAGUGGUCAUGAGCCUGACUCUGGGUUCAAGUCCUAUCUCCACCACCUUCUUGCUAUGCGAUACUGGCUUACUCGACCUCCCUGUUCCUCAGUUUACCCAUCUAUAAAGCAAGGGUGACAACUGAGAAUUAGUUACUGCAUUUUGUCGAUUCUAAGAUUCCUCUUUUAACAUUUCUGGAAUCAGAGUGAGUCUUAAAAUCAAUGCCAUGCCAUGGAUUAAUUGGCAGCGAUUUUUUUUUUUAAAGUAACCUCAGUACUGAAACUCACAACCCCGAGAUCAAGAGUCACACGCUCUGCUGGCUGAGCCAACCGGGCGCCCUAAUUGGCAGCAUUCCUUAGUGGCACAUUAAAUAAUUGUACAUCUGAAGACCGAUGGAGCCUUCGAUAUGAUGAAACACAAAAAUACACGGAGAGUCCAGCACCUGGCCUGUCACAAGGGCUAAAUAAGUGUAAGCGAUUGUUACCACUGUCAUCAUCUGCUUUCUGGAAUUCUGUUCAUCGCAGUAAUAAGUGCUCCAUCGGAAUAAAGAGACUUCAUAAAUAGAUGUAAAGGUGAAAAUUUUUUAGUAGUUUCCCCCAGAAAAACACCCAAAGUCUGAUACUUCCUCUGAAAGAUCCCAUAGAAUUCUGCCAAAGUUCCAGAGAAAACUUCAGAAAUUCCUCCUUUACCAUGGGGACCAGAGCGCCUGGCUCCCUGACCGGCAGGGGGAACCAGGGCAUGCCCCCAGAUGACUUCGGGGGUGUUCCCUGUGUCCUUGUGAAUUUUCCUGAGUCACCAUUACUCACUGCCCACAAUCGGGGCUCUGCUACCUUCCAACCAGGAGACUGAUGCUCUGGGAUCAAGGGCUGUCCUUCAACAAAAGUGUGAUUAUAGAGUGUCCCGCAUGGGCCGUAAACCGUCUGCAGCUCAGGAGAGCGGGGUGACCCUCGCCGGUGUCUUAUUUUUGGCUUCCCGGGUUGUGUUCCUGCCUACUGACUUGGCAAAUCCUGGGCGACUCGCCUUGUUUUCUCUCCUCACUUAAAUACAUGUCUGGAAAAAGCCUCCGCCCCCACAGACACUGCUGUGUGUGGAAAAUGGUGACAGGCCUGAUGGGGGAGGAGAAACCAGGCGGCUGAUGCCUGGAGCCUCCCUCUCACUGAGGGGGGAGGGUUGGCUCAGCUGCUGGGGUUAGCCACACUCCCAGGCCAGUUCUCAUUCUCUCCUCCUCUGCCUAGUUAACAAGAGACCCUCUCGGCCACUGACACCGCGUAUGCAAAGUUCUCUGGUUUGCACCUGGGGUCGGGAGGCUGUCACCCUGAAAACACAGGGACCCGGUGACCCCCAGGCAGCGCGCACGUGCUGGAUGGCAAGGGGCUGGAUAAAGGCACUCUGGAGCCCCCAGACCACAUGCCUGCUCCUGCCAGCUCUCCGCCAGUUGGGGGGGCAGGACAGCCCCCCAGGGGAAACGAGGGACCAAGCAACCAGUGGUGGGUCUCUGUGGAGGCCCUCUGGACAGGACAGUCAACUGCCCUCUCUCUGGAUCCCCAGACACCCGUCCAACGGUCACCCAUCUUCAUUCCAGAAUGCUAACCCUGCACACAGCCGCCCGUUCGUGGGUUCUAUUGGAUCUCUGCUCCGGGCUGGGGAGACGCCAGGCUGGUUUCAAAGCCUCAAGAUCCUCCAUCCCAACCCUCCCGUUCACACGGGGAAGACGGGACUGACGAAGAGGAGUGCGGGGCUCCGACAGGAGUCCAGCAAAGCAGGUGGCAUCUAAAGGGGGCCGGAAGCCAUGCUGCCUCUCCAUCAGCUCCACUGGGCCGUCGUCAGAAACUCUUUAUUUUACGCAAAGGCGCUCUGCACAUUCAGCUCCAAGACUCUGCCUCUGUGGAGAACCCUGUGGCCAGCCCUCCCCACUCCAGGCCCCACAUCUGGAAUUUUCUCUUCUUUGUCUCUUCUGGCCAGCACCUGAGCUUUCCAUCCAGCUUCCCAGACAAGGCGUCCUCCUGAAGCUGAGCAGCGCCCCCAGUGCAGGCCGCCUCUUUAUUUGGCCCCCAGUCAUGCCUCCAGGCCCUGCAAAGUUCGUUCAACAGCGCCAAACAGCCUUGGCUUUGAACUUGUCAACAAUUUCUUCUCCAAAUGUAACCUUGGGAGAGAUGUCAGGAGGAAGAUAACAACAGCGAGAGGCUAUUGAGAAGGGUGACAGGGGCUGCAUGAGGUGAUCUGCCCUCCCCGCCCUCACCCCUACCCCCUCUCCCCAAGGGUACCUUUAUUCCUCCGCGGCAUCUUUUGAGCCUAAGCAAAAACAGUGGCAGACUUGGCCUGUCUUUGCAGCUCAUGUGUGCACCUGUCCAGCCACAGGCCACGGGGGACAGCUCUCAGCAGGGCAAAAGCAUCGGGGUCCCUGCCCAACAUUGCCUGGCUCUCCAAGGAUUGCAGAGAAAACACACUCCUUUGACCAAAUACGGAGUCAAUCGAGUAAUCAGACUCAACAGAGACACUGCAGAAGCAGUAAGAGAUUAUAAUAGUUCUACAAAGACAUCUUGUUUAUUCACAUCCAUUACGAUGGCUACUCUUAAAAAAAAAAAAAAAAAAAGAAGGUAACAAGCAUUGGCAAGGACAUGGAGAAGUUGGAACCAUGAGCACCUUUGGCGAGACUGUGAAACGGUGCACCCACCAGGGAAAACAGAGGGUCCUCAAACAGUAAAAAACAGAACUACCGUA